CCUACGGGAGGCUGCAGUGGGGAAUAUUGGACAAUGGGCGAAAGCCUGAUCCAGCCAUGCCGCGUGUGUGAAGAAGGCCUUCGGGUUGUAAAGCACUUUCAGUGGGGAAGAAAGCCUUGGGGCUAAUACCCUCGAGGAAGGACAUCACCCACAGAAGAAGCACCGGCUAACUCCGUGCCAGCAGCCGCGGUAAUACGGAGGGUGCGAGCGUUAAUCGGAAUUACUGGGCGUAAAGCGCGCGUAGGCGGUCUGAUAAGCCGGUUGUGAAAGCCCCGGGCUCAACCUGGGAACGGCAUCCGGAACUGUCAGGCUAGAGUGCAGGAGAGGAAGGUAGAAUUCCCGGUGUAGCGGUGAAAUGCGUAGAGAUCGAGAGGAAUACCAGUGGCGAAGGCGGCCUUCUGGACUGACACUGACGCUGAGGUGCGAAAGCGUGGGUAGCAAACAGGAUUAGAUACCCGAGUAGUC
Molecule: ribosomal RNA, 465 nt
Filed under: Vreelandella stevensii
Lineage: Bacteria; Pseudomonadati; Pseudomonadota; Gammaproteobacteria; Oceanospirillales; Halomonadaceae
Description: partial 16S ribosomal RNA
Rfam family: Bacterial small subunit ribosomal RNA
Source: RNAcentral